GAUGAAGAACGCAGCGAAAUGCGAUAAGUAAUGUGAAUUGCAGAAUUCAGUGAAUCAUCGAAUCUUUGAACGCACAUUGCGCCCGCCAGUAUUCUGGCGGGCAUGUCUGUCUGAGCGUCAUUUCAACCCUCAUGCCCCUAGGGCGUGGUGUUGGGGAUCGGCCAAAGCCCGCGAGGGACGGCCGGCCCCUAAAUCUAGUGGCGGACCCGUCGUGGCCUCCUCUGCGAAGUAGUGAUAUUCCGCAUCGGAGAGCGACGAGCCCCUGCCGUUAAACCCCCAACUUUCCAAGGUUGACCUCAGAUCAGGUAGGAAUACCCGCUGAACUUAAGCAUAUCAAUAAGCGGAGGA
Molecule: unclassified non-coding RNA, 348 nt
Filed under: soil metagenome
Description: partial contains 5.8S ribosomal RNA, internal transcribed spacer 2, and large subunit ribosomal RNA
Rfam family: 5.8S ribosomal RNA (bases 1-120)
Source: RNAcentral